Molecule: ribosomal RNA, 1251 nt
Filed under: Triticum aestivum (bread wheat)
Lineage: Eukaryota; Viridiplantae; Streptophyta; Magnoliopsida; Poales; Poaceae
Description: partial small subunit ribosomal RNA
Source: RNAcentral
AUGAUUCGUCCUCCGCGGUGCCCUACGAGGCUCCGUACGUCCCCCACCUCCCCCUUCUUCCCGGUCCACCCCGGCAAGUGCAGUCUCUUCGUGCUCGACUCGCGCCAUGGCCUCGUCCUCUCAAAUACCAUCGGCCCGAGCGGCGAACCCCUCUGCCUCAUCGUGUGGGACCUCGUCGGCCACCGCCAGUGGCGGUUGCCCUUGCCGGAUUUCGUGGACUGGCCAACCUUUCCAGACUGCGCCGCCGCGGUGCUCUGCGCCGCCGAUGGCUGCGACCACCUCAAUUGCCCUGGCUACCCCUUCCGUGUGGUCUAUGUGGGCACCGAUGACGAUGGCGUCGCGCAAGCUUGCGUCUACUCUUCAGAGUCCUGUGCCUGGAGCCCCGUGACGUCUUGUGAGCACCCUGAAUUGCCCCUGCACGUCAGGCUCUCUCGGCCCAAUGCCCUUGUGGGAGAUGCAGUCUAUUUCUUGUGCACUCAGGAAACGGUAGUCCUGCGAUAUGACUUGUUCAGCCAGGAGCUAUCGAUGAUUCACUGGCCAGCCAUGCACAAGUGGAAGUGCAGCUAUAUCCUUAUGCGAAUGGAGGGCGAUAUGCUGGGCUGUGCCAAUCUGCAGGAGUCCAGGCUCGAACUAUGCUCGAUGGAGGCUGACGCAGACGGAGCUGUGAAAUGGGCAACACGCAGAGUCGUCGACCUCCAGAACUUGCUACCCUCGACCCCCAGAUAUGUGAUUAGCUGCACCGAUGAAUUUCGUGUCUUUUUUGUGCGGACAGAUCUUGGCACUUUCACAGUUGAGCUUAAUUCUGGCCGAGUUAAGAAGGUAUCCAGUAGCAGUGAAGUCAUUCCCUACACGAGGUUCUACACUCCAGACCUAGCUGGGGGCAUAACACCUCCAUCAACCAUGGCGUCCUCCUCAGAGAAUGUUGAGACGACCCAAGACGAGCACCAUGUGGGUGAUGAGAAGGAGAAAUGUGUAGAGAAGGGCGAGGACGAUUUUGACUUGGAGGAGAACGGAUGGGAGGAGGAGGCCGAGGAAGAGGAGUGGGGAUGGGAUAGGGAGAAAGCUGCAAAUGAGCUGUUUGCCAAGGGGUCCAAGGCGAUCGAGGAGGAACAAUUCGUUCACGCGAUUCACUGUUUCGACGAUGUCCUUGAGAGUAGGUUAGAGUUUCUCUCCCUUCCACAUGCUGCUCUUACUCCAUGGCCUGGCUGUAGCUUGCAUACAGAUGGAUUAUUGUAUUCAACCUCCAAUUAG